GAUGCACAUUACACAUCGUUUCAAAUUCAUUUCGUUUUCGGUUUUAAUGUGAAUUAGAUGCAUCAAAUAGAAGUAGUGAGCAAAAAAUGGAAGUGGCUAAUUUGUUGAAGGAAUGGAAUUUGGAACUUCUGAUUCGGAAUUUGAAGAUAGGUAAUAUCUUUACGGAAUAUUAAAAUUUCUUCUUGUGAAUAUAUUAUCUGGCUAGAAAAUAGUAGCGACCCAUGACCGGAAAUAGAAGAAAAAUGGAGAAAAACUUACUUGUUACGUCAGGGUCGGUUAAUAGAAGAUUAUUGUACCAUAAUGGAAUAUAUGGGAAAAUUUCCUUCCCUGAAACAACCACUAGCUCGAACGUGAUUUCGACUUACUUUAUCGUUGAGAACGCAACAAAAAUGUCCUCUGAUUGGGCAGUAUUUUCUAGUCAAAUAAUAAAUUACGCAAAAACAUUAAAACAACAGGAAAUCGGAAAUCAGAACAAACCUGGGUACUGAUUCAAAAAGAACUCUAUAAUCUGUGUACAAAGUGGGAUAAUCAUUGAUCAGUCGAUAAUGGCUAUUUGUUGUAUGUCCACUGCUGAUGGGACGUUAUUUGUCUCACUUCGGAUCAGUGUCAAAUAAACAUGUUUAAUCAUUUAUAUUUAAGUUUUUUUUUCAAUUGUU
Long non-coding RNA from Agrilus planipennis (emerald ash borer), 656 nucleotides. RefSeq lists it as uncharacterized. NCBI's taxonomy places the organism in Eukaryota, Metazoa, Arthropoda, Insecta, Coleoptera, Buprestidae. The transcript has 4 exons. The record is from RefSeq and is a predicted model, not a curated record.